CCUACGGGUGGCAGCAGUGAGGAAUAUUGGUCAAUGGGCGGGAGCCUGAACCAGCCAAGCCGCGUGAGGGAAGAAGGUACAGCGUAUCGUAAACCUCUUUUGUCAGGGAACAAAGGCGGGGACUAGUCCCCGGAUGAGGGUACCUGAAGAAAAAGCAUCGGCCAACCCCGGGCCAGCAGCCGCGGUAAUACGGAGGAUGCGAGCGUUUUCCGAAUUGAUUGGGUUAAAGGGGUGCGUAGGCGGCCUGUUAAUUCAGCGGUAAAAGCCCGGGGCUCAACCCCGGCGGGCCGUUGAAACUGGCGGGCUGGAGUUGUAGAGAGGGACGCGGAAUGCGCAGUGUAGCGGUGAAAUGCUUAGAUAUCGCGCAGAACCCCGAUUGCGAAGGCAGCGUACCGGCUCCACACUGACGCUGAGGCACGAAAGCGUGGGUAUCGAACAGGAUUAGAUACCCGGGUAGUC
This 459-nucleotide ribosomal RNA is filed under the name uncultured bacterium. RNAcentral's name for it is "partial 16S ribosomal RNA". It matches the Rfam family "Bacterial small subunit ribosomal RNA", at positions 338 to 795 of the family's 1533-position model. The record is from RNAcentral.